Molecule: long non-coding RNA, 641 nt
Filed under: Elaeis guineensis (African oil palm)
Lineage: Eukaryota; Viridiplantae; Streptophyta; Magnoliopsida; Arecales; Arecaceae
Description: long non-coding RNA (EGUI_LNC011014)
Source: RNAcentral
UCUGCUUCUUUCUUCUUGUUAAAGUUAUUCUCUAAGUUGUUAUGUUGGUCACUUCCAGUUUCUAUGGAUCUAGGCCUCUUCCUAUUCUUCCUUUCUUGUUUUGAUCUUUUAAUAUUUAAUUCAAUUUUCAAAGCUCGUUCUAGUAAUUAUAGUUGUUAAAAAGAUGAGAGGACAAGUCGGACUAAAAUUUUAUAUCCUAGACCAUGGUCAAAUCUAUUUACUUUAUUUUUCUCGGACUCUAUAAGCUAGGGGCAAAAUCGAUCUAACUCAUUGAAUUUGUUUGCAUAUUCCAGUAUUGUCAUGUCGUCUUUUUAUCUCAAAGCUAAAAACUCAUUCUCCUUUACUAAUCUAACUGACUCAAAAAAAUAUUGAUCAUAAAAUAUCUUUUCGAACUCCUCUAAUAUUAGAUGAUUAUUAUUAUUCCCAUAUGCAGCUUUUAUUACAGUCCACCAAAAAUUGAUAUUUUAUUUUAGCAUUAAAAUGGCUAGCCUAAUCUUUAUAUCCUUAAGAUACUGUAGUGCAUCAAACAUCUUUUCUAUUUUUUGAAUCCAUGUUUCUGCAAUUAGAGGGUCAAAUCCACCCUCAAACAGUGGUGGAUUGAGUCUUCUGAACCUCUCAUAAUAUGACUCUAAAGAUGGCCC